AGGUCCUUAGCUCAGUUGGUAGAGCAACAGCCUCUUAAGCUGAUGGUCGCGGGUUCAAGUCCCGCAGGGCCUACCA
This 76-nucleotide transfer RNA is filed under the name bacterium. Its description in RNAcentral is "tRNA-Lys". It matches the Rfam family "tRNA". From Rfam's summary of the family: Transfer RNA (tRNA) molecules are approximately 80 nucleotides in length. Their secondary structure includes four short double-helical elements and three loops (D, anti-codon, and T loops). The record is from RNAcentral.